GACGAACGCUGGCGGCGGGCUUAACACAUGCAAGUCGAACGGAAAGGCCCUGCUUUUGUGGGGUGCUCGAGUGGCGAACGGGUGAGUAACAAGUGAGUAACCUGCCCUUGACUUUGGGAUAACUUCAGGAAACUGGGGCUAAUACCGGAUAGGAGCUCCUGCUGCAUGGUGGGGGUUGGAAAGUUUCGGCGGUUGGGGAUGGACUCGCGGCUUAUCAGCUUGUUGGUGGGGUAGUGGCUUACCAAGGCUUUGACGGGUAGCCGGCCUGAGAGGGUGACCGGCGACAUUGGGACUGAGAUACGGACCAGACUACUACGGGAGGCAGCAGUGGGGAAUAUUGCACAAUGGGCGGACGCCCGAUGCAGCAACGCCGCGUGCGGGAUGACGGCCUUCGGGUUGUAAACCGCUUUCGCCUGUGACGAAGCGUGAUUGACGGUAAUGGGUAAAGAAGCACCGGCUAACUACGUG
This 468-nucleotide ribosomal RNA is filed under the name uncultured bacterium. Its description in RNAcentral is "partial 16S ribosomal RNA". It matches the Rfam family "Bacterial small subunit ribosomal RNA", at positions 28 to 507 of the family's 1533-position model. The record is from RNAcentral.